RNAcentral lists this ribosomal RNA (468 nucleotides) under uncultured bacterium. Its description in RNAcentral is "partial 16S ribosomal RNA". It matches the Rfam family "Bacterial small subunit ribosomal RNA", at positions 28 to 507 of the family's 1533-position model. The record is from RNAcentral.
GACGAACGCUGGCGGCGUGCUUAACACAUGCAAGUCGAACGGAAAGGCCCUGCUUUUGUGGGGUGCUCGAGUGGCGAACGGGUGAGUAACACGUGAGUAACCUGCCCUUGACUUUGGGAUAACUUCAGGAAACUGGGGCUAAUACCGGAUAGGAGCUCCUGCUGCAUGGGGGGGGUUGGAAAGUUUCGGCGGUUGGGGAUGGACUCGCCGCUUAUCAGCUUGUUGGUGGGGUAGUGGCUUACCAAGGCUUUGACGGGUAGCCGGCCUGAGAGGGUGACCGGCCACCUUGGGCCUGCGAUACGCCCCAGACUCCUACGGGAGGCAGCAGUCGGGAAUAUUGCACAAUGGGCGGAAGCCUGAUGCAGCAACGCCGCGUGCGGGAUGACGGCCUUCGGGUUGUAAACCGCUUUCGCCUGUGCCGAAGCGUGAGUGACGGUAAUGGGUAAAGAAGCACCGGCUAACUACGUG